Molecule: long non-coding RNA, 1216 nt
Organism: Carya illinoinensis
Lineage: Eukaryota; Viridiplantae; Streptophyta; Magnoliopsida; Fagales; Juglandaceae
Exons: 4
Source: RefSeq, a predicted model, not a curated record
CUCUCUCUCUCUCUCUCUCUCUCUCUCUCUCUCGGGUUUUUUUUUUUUUUGAGGAAAGAGAAUAAAAAAGACAAACACAGGAAGCAGAGACAAGGAGAAAUGUCGGAAGCAAAAGACCCUGCGAUCAAGCUCUUGGGGAAGACGAUCCCGGUGCCCUGAGAUCUCAAACAACAGAGUUGGAGAAGAGCGAGCGGCUGGCAAGUGGCUAGAAACCAUCCUUUCCACUGCCUUGAGAAAAAAAAUAUGGUGAAGAAAGACAACUCAGUUCAAAAGUGGGUCUUCAGAGUUCCCAACCCAUUACUCUUUGUACUGGAACCUUUUCUGAUCCUGUGAUUGUGUUACGCAUUGGCAUUCCUCCAAUCCGGUGGAUUUUUGUACCUGAUUAUUUUUUCUGGUUUAAUAUAAUUCUUUUAUGGGCUCGUAUUAAGAAGAUUAUGCAAGCUGAUGAGGAUGUUGGGAAGAUUUCCAUGGCUGUGUCUCUUCUAGUCUACACGAUCAAGUCAUCAUCCUCCUGAAGAACCACAGCAGUUGCUGGUACUACAACAGCGAGAAGAACAGCUGCAAGGGAAUGAAGACUUUGAUCAGGAACUGGAACGGCUACCAUCAGAACCAUACUGUCAAGGGCAUCUGUAGGAGCUUCAUAAAAGCUUGGUUCCUCCAUUCUUGAGCAAAAUUGAUGGGCAGGGAUAAUUUCUUAGUAUUGUCAAAGCCAUUCUUAUUUCACUUUGAUACAAAAAGCACCUACUUCUACUUUUGUUCCAGGAAAGGAAGAAUGUACAUGGUUGCCUAGGGAUGGGUUCUAGUUUGUGAUAUGGAGGGGAGAGAGCAGCGACCCCCCCUCCCACGCGGGUUCUAGUGUGUGGUUGAGAUUUGAGAUUUACUUCCGUGUGGGGUUCCACAACUGCAAGGGGAUGAAGACUUUGAUCAUGAACUGGAACGGCUACUAUCAGAACCAUAAUGUCAAGGGCAUCUGUAGGAGAUUCAUAAAAGCUUGGUUCCUCCAUGAGCAAAGUUGAGGGGCAGGGAUAAUUUCUUAGGAUUGUCCAAACCAUUCUUAGGAUGGUUUCAAUCUGCUUUCUUCCGCUUUUUCAUUCGUUUUUUGGUAUUUUUUUUUUUAAUAAAUAGCGACUGACGUGAUGCCAUGUCAGCCGACUCCAUCCCAUUUACAUUUACCGACUGUGUAUAGAACUAUUGAUUUGAUGCUCUUGAUCUUGUU